Long non-coding RNA from Rosa rugosa (rugosa rose), 1437 nucleotides. RefSeq lists it as uncharacterized. The transcript is spliced from 7 exons. The record is from RefSeq and is a predicted model, not a curated record. Lineage: Eukaryota; Viridiplantae; Streptophyta; Magnoliopsida; Rosales; Rosaceae.
UCUGUGUCUCACUCUCUACCCCAACAGCUGUACGUCUUCUGUAGCACAAUCCUGAGAGUUCAAGAACGAUCCAGAGAGCCAUGAAGAGAAUUAGAGAGAGAGAGAGAGAGAGAUAGAAUGAGAGAGAGGUGAACUUCAGGAAAGAUAAAGAAUUCAUCUCACAUCUCAUCAUCUCAGCACGAGACUGAUCGGAGAGGCACACAAAGAAAGAAGUGGGAGAGGGAUCUGGGUUUUGACUACAGCCCCAAAUUUCAAAUCGGGUAUUGUUCGGUUUGGCUGUGAGGAGGAAGAGGACCUGCGUUUUGGAUAACUCUGUGUUUUGAGCCAAGGAAAAGAUGAGGGACUUGGGUAUAGGGUUGUGAUCGAUACUUAAUUUUUGGGGGUUUGUAAAAGUCCAAGCACUAAGAUACAGAAGACAACAGGACAUAUCAAUCUUUGUUUGUUUUGGAAUAGGAUCUGUUGUGUGUCUUGGACUGUUUGGUUUUGGUCAAAGCAGGUUUGGGAUAAGCAAAUUAUAAUUUGAAAACAGUUGGGACUUGAAAGUUGCAUAUAUUGAAGAAGUUGGGAAGACCAGGUGUUUUAAGCUCCUAGAGGCAGUGGUUUGGGAGUUUUAAGGAUUUUGCUACCCAACUCCAGCAUCUUCCGCAGCUGCAACUAAAACAAUCACCUUUUGAACAACCGGCGCACUCACUAUUUUGAACAACCUCCAGCAGCAACUUUUGCUAGAUUAACUUAUAACCUUUUUGUUGAGGUAGCAUUUUUGCACCAGCUCCAGUUGAAUGGACUUCAACUAAAAGAGAUCGGUUGUGUGUGUUUGCUUCGCACGAGGAGGUAGAGAGAUAGAUCGGAGGGUAAGUUUGAAUCCUCAAUCCGGGUUGAGAGAUAAAGAGAGUUAGAGAGAUCGGUUGUAUUUGUUUGCUUCGGACGAGGAGGUAGAGAGAUAGAUCGGAGGAAAAGUUUGAAUCUUCAAUCCGGAGUCUGGGUUUUGGGUCUCUUGCCUUUGUUUUUGUUCUGAUCGAGUUUCCAACCUUGGAAUUGAUUGUAGGCUAUGUAGAAAUCUGAUGGUAAGAACCCUCUUCUUAUUGUUUCUUCUUUUCAUGAUCAGAGUAAUCAGCAAAAGAAGAAGCGGUUUCAUUUUCAGCAAAAGCAAAAUAAGAAAAGCGGUUCACUUGAUUUGAUGGCUUCAAUUGCAUGAUGGCUGUUUUCAUUUUUCUUUUUAUUAUGAACAGACAUAAUGUUUCACAUUUUAACCUUCUACUUAAAUGCAUUUUUCGCGGGUGAAGCUAUUUGGUUGGCAUUGAUUGCUAUUGAUCUUUCUUCUGUUAACUGAAGCUUAUCUGAUUCAAUUCUUAAUGUAUGCGAUUUGGUUUCCUUCUGCAGCCUGGGUUUUAACUUUUCAACAGUUCCAAGAUCCAAAUUUUUUGUUUUCAAUCUUUC